AGGCAAAGCCGGGAGAAACUGCUGAGACGAGAUUUCAAGUUGGUCUGUGGCUGGUUUCCUGCCAACAGGAGCCCACACGUCAUCCUCCAGGACUGCUUUCGUGGUGAGCGUGGCGCGGGACCACCUCGAGAAGACCCGGGCUGCAAGCCCAGGUGGCUCAACCCUGCCCAUCGGGGCUGGGUGGGGGCGGGGCAUUUUAAAGAAAAUAGAAGGAAGCGGGGGCCCGCUGCCAAAAAUCGUUGAAACAAAUGCCCCCCCCCCGUAACUCAAAUUUCUAAGCUAAUUCCUCUCUCUGUUCCCACCAGAAAAAUUCCUCCUGCUGCUUUUGCUCCAAGGCCCAGGGCUGGUGCUAUAAGAAACCUGCCUUUGUUAAGUAACAGCAGCUUUCUCAGUUUGGGUUCAUCAGGGGCAUCCAUGAGAUGCCUGUGCAACUUGCACUGGCCGGGAGAGUCUGAACCCCCACAGCGGGCUGGUAGAGAACCCCAUCCAAAGCAAAGAAAGGGAUGGUGUAUGGAGGCCGUGGUGGCCUGGCCCUCCGUCAGGUGCAGUGUCCGUCAGGGAUUUCAAGAGGCCGUAAAUAGCUUAGAGACACUCUCAUCCCAGGAAAGCCUUAGAGGGCCCCCAGGGAACCCCAGAUUGGGAAUCACUGGGCUAAGCCAGUUGGGAUGUGGAUGGUGCGUUACGCUCUGACAAUGCCCGCAGCCACGCCUAUUUCCCCAUCAAGGAAGGUCCCCUGACUCUGCCAUUUACCGGCUGUGUGAUCUUGGGUGGAUGGCUUUCCCUCUCUGAACCUCUGAGUCCCAUGGCGUCCCCUCCUGGGUUGGAAGCACUCUGGAGGGGCUGGGUGUCUUUUUUUUUUUUUUUUUUUUCCUUUUUUGGCCACCCUGCAGCAUUCAGAGCUCCUGGACCAGGGAUCAGAUCUGAGCCACAGUUCUGACCUACACUGCAGCUGCGGCCACGCCAGGUCCUUAACCCACUGUGCCGGGUGGGGGAUGGUACCUGCGUCCCAGGGCUCCAGAGACGCCGCAUUCCUGUUGUGCCACAGCGGGAACUCCUGGCCCACCGCCACGGCAGUUUGGCCGUGUUUCCCAAAGAGGCUCUGAAGCUCUGAUGCCAGAGAUUCACAAAGACUCCUGAAAAACAGCUUCCUUGCCCACUUUUGCUUAAAUACGCCAAAGUGCACUGGGAAUCUUGGAGAAGACACUCAAGACCACGGCCUGCCUGUACCCUGCACACCAAGGUUUUCCAGGGCACAACCUGGGAUCAGUGUUCCAAGGAGCACACUUUGGGAACCCAGCCCACGACAGGUCCUCCAGACUAAAAAGGUCUCUUUGUUUCUGUGUUCGUUACCUACUUCUGCAAAACAAAGCAUCCCAACUCAGUGGCUGAAAACCGUAAGAAUAUGUUAUCUCAAAGUGUGGGUCGGGAAUUCAGAAGUGGCAUUCCUGGCUGGUCCUGGCUUGUGGUCUCUUGUGAGUGAAGUCACCUGACAGCUUGCCUGAGACGGGAGGGUCUUCUUCCAAGAUGGUACACUCACUUGGCGGGCAGGGCAGUGCUGGCUGUCGGCUAGAGGCCUCGGUUCCUUGCCACACAGACUCCUCCACGGAGCUGCUUGGGCUCCCUCACAAUAUGGUGGCUGGCUUCCCCCCAGAUGGAUAGAAGAGAGCAAGACCGAAGCCACAGUGUCUUUUAGGACGUGGCCUCAGGACGCAGUGAUGGCUACAGGGAUCCAGGCGUGUUUGCCUCCUGGAAAUGUGCAGAAAAAUCCGUGACCCGUCUGAACCCACGUGGAGAAAACUGGAGGAGGAGUGAACUCAGGAUGGAUGAAUAAUGCCAAAGAUAAACACGUAAUAAAUAGGUAAAAACCCUUCCGUGGCUCCUCACUCUCCUCGGAAGACAGUCCAAACUUGAGAGUGGCCCUGUGGCCUUUGGGGGCCAGGCACAGACCAAGCUCGCACACCGAGGGGCUCGUCACCUUCUCUCCCUUGGACACACAGACUGGACUGAAUGGUGCCAGCUUCUCCUCUUUAGAACCUCACAUCCUCUGCCUGGCACACUGUCUCCUCUUCUUGUUACUUGCUAAAUGUCACUUCCUCCAGGAAGCCCUCCCUGCCUAAUUGACUUUAGUUCAAACCCCGGGCUCCCGCUGCACUUCUUUGUAGCCCUCGUCAUUGUAAUGAUCUAAAAAAAAUCUAAAAAAACCCAAA
This 2207-nucleotide long non-coding RNA is filed under the name Sus scrofa (pig). RNAcentral's name for it is "lncRNA (ENSSSCG00035073310.1)". Lineage: Eukaryota; Metazoa; Chordata; Mammalia; Artiodactyla; Suidae. The record is from RNAcentral.